Molecule: long non-coding RNA, 1270 nt
Organism: Neogale vison (American mink)
Lineage: Eukaryota; Metazoa; Chordata; Mammalia; Carnivora; Mustelidae
Exons: 2
Source: RefSeq, a predicted model, not a curated record
GCGGCAGCAUCCCUUAGUCUCCGGCCCUGGGAGGGGGAAGGGAAAAGACGGAGCCGUGGAGGGAAGAGGGAGCCAUUUCUCUCCCCGGGCUGCAACCUCCGUGGUCACAGCUCACGUUUGCCCGGAAUCCAGAGGCUUCCCCAGCCAAGGACUCCAUAAUGCUGGAUAUUUUCAUCCUGAUGUUCUUUGCCAUCAUAGGCCUGGUCAUUCUGUCCUACAUUAUCUAUCUGCUCUAGGGGCCUGCAGCUGCGGCGGGGAGCCCACUGAACCCAGCUCAGGAUGAAGCUGACCGCCCGAGCAUCCUGCUUUGCUGACGCACCGGUGGAUAUUUGCUUCUGGUCGUUAUUCCGGCUCCUGGUCUCCAGCCCAACCAGAGGCCUCUUAGCAGCAGCACCGGUCCUGCUACACGGCAGACCUCUUCCAGAGCCUUCCGGAUAUGGUUAACCACUGUCGAGCAAGGGGCUUUUUGAGCUCCGACGCAGAGGCCCUCCAUGGGGACCUCAGGAAUUCGUGGGCACGCCUGGCAGAUGCUGUGUGCAUUCGAGCUGUGGAUAGAGGGUGUUGAGGACACCUAGCUGAAAUGUAGACUCAUUAAAGUUACCAUGGAGAACUGCUCAGAUACUCAUCGUGACAGCCUUUCUUUAGGUGUAAAUACAACAGAUGAUGCUAAAAUAUUUCUUUCCUUUCCCUCCCGCAGGCAAGGGGGCCCCUUGUAAGUUCAAGAGCACAUUGUCUAUCUUCAUCUCUGAAGUAGUCACUUUGACACUGUCUUUACAGACCGCAGUGUGAGCUCGUGUGGUGGCCCUUGUCUUGCUCCCCAGCAAGAAGGAAAUUGUCGUUUGAAUUUUUAAGAUUUAUCAUUUUUCCCCCCCACUCCAUACCAUUUGUGGCCCAGCUUCUCAUUUCAAGAGAGAAAUAGUUAUAUAUAUAGUCCUCAUUCUUUGUGACUGGCUGAAUUAUAAAUUGUUGAAAUAGGGUAGCUAUACCUCAUCUUACUUGUUAUUGGGGGAGAAAAUCUGUCUCUUACUCCCAAAUAAAUGUCUUUUAUAUUGUCAAAUGUUCCUCGUCUGGGGGGGAAAAAAACCUUGCAACAUAUAUAUAUUUUUUGAAGGGGUCCGAUUAGGGUUGAAGGAACCAUAUAUUGUGGAAUCCAGAGUAGAUGUGGGCCCCAAAUCUGUGGUUCCUGUUCCCGUGAAAAGUCCAUCGUAAUUGUUCUACGUUUGACUUUCCUUUCUAGCUUACAAAUAAACAAGGAGAAAGAUUAACUUAA